This 253-nucleotide ribosomal RNA is filed under the name uncultured microorganism. RNAcentral's name for it is "partial 16S ribosomal RNA". It matches the Rfam family "Bacterial small subunit ribosomal RNA", at positions 524 to 776 of the family's 1533-position model. The record is from RNAcentral.
UACGGAGGGUGCGAGCGUUAAUCGGAAUUACUGGGCGUAAAGCGUGCGCAGGCGGUUUGUUAAGCGAGAUGUGAAAGCCCCGGGCUCAACCUGGGAACCGCAUUUCGAACUGGCAAACUAGAGUCUUGUAGAGGGGGGUAGAAUUCCAGGUGUAGCGGUGAAAUACGUAGAGAUCUGGAGGAAUACCGGUGGCGAAGGCGGCCCCCUGGGAUGAUACUGACGCUCAGGCACGAAAGCGUGGGGAGCAAACAGG